UCGGUCUGGGGCCGUUGUUUGAACUGGCUGGUUCUUCCCCUAUCGCUCUUGGGUCGUCUUCCCCAUUUCCGGAUGGAAUUAGGUCAUCUUCCCUUGCUUCCGUCUGCUUGUGUAAGUCGACGAUGGCUUGGACAUCUUCUUUAACGGCGAGAUACCCCAGCGGCUUCGUAUCAUCUCCUCCCCCUUCAGAAUCGACCUUGUCCUCAAGGUUGAUAGUUGGAAAGAACUGCUGGAUGUCUUCGACAGCUUCCCAAGAAGCAUCUUCAGGUAUAGCACUACUCCACUGGAUUAGCACUUGCUCUUUCUUUUUCUUGCCUCCUUGUAGAAUUGACCUGUGAUUUAGUAUAGCCAUAGGAUAGAUUAUAGGUUUAUUAUCAAUCGAAAUUAGGGGUUCUGUUGCAUCAGGGUUUUCAGGUGGAGAGCCACUGAAUCUUUUUAGUUUUGAUACAUGAAAUGCAGUGUGAAUUCUGCUCUCUGUGGGUAACUCCAGAUGGUAGGCCACUUCAUUGAUCUUUUUUGAAAUCUUAUAAGGUCCAAAGUACUUCUUCCCUAAUUUAUUGUGUAAUUUGUGAGCAACAGUGGCUUGUCUUAUGGUGUUAAUUUUACUAACACCCAAUCUCCCACCUCAAACGAGAUGUCUGACCUUCCUUUGUCUGCUCGAAUCUUCAUUCUAUUUUGUGCCAACUCUAAAUUAUUUUUGAUUUUCUGUAAGGUCUCCUCUCUUAGUUUUAGAUUUAUGCUAACAGCCUCAAGUGUUGAGUCACCUUCUGUAAAAUGUGGAAUAUCAGAUGAUUCCUUCCCAUAAAGAGCCAUAAAUGGUGUCAUACCUAG
Molecule: long non-coding RNA, 831 nt
Filed under: Zostera marina
Lineage: Eukaryota; Viridiplantae; Streptophyta; Magnoliopsida; Alismatales; Zosteraceae
Description: long non-coding RNA (ZMAR_LNC004575)
Source: RNAcentral